AAGGGCACCACAAGAACGCGUGGAGCAUGUGGCUUAAUUUGACUCAACCCGGGAAAUCUUACCAGGUCCAGACAUAUUGAGGAUUGACAGGCGAUAGUAUAUAAAAUAUAUUUUUAUAUGCAUAAAAAUGAUAGUCCUUUCAUGAUUAUAUGAUAGGUGGUGCAUGGCCGUUCUUAGUUCGUGGAGUGAUUUGUCUGCUUAAUUGCGUUUCAGUAAAUAAAAUAUAUAAUAUAUUAUAAUAUUUAGUUCUGCCAUUUAUUUAUGGAUUUAAAGUGAACAUAUUAUAUAUAUUAUUAUAUAAUAAAUGAAUGCAACGAACGUGACCGUAACCUUUUAUUGCUAUUGAAAAUUAUAAUUAUAGCAUAAAAUUAAAGGAACCGCUGUCAUUACUAAAUAUGUGUUAAAAUAGAGUAAGAUUAUGGCAAUAACAGGUCUGUGAUGCCCUCAGAUGUUCUGGGCUGCACACGUGCUACAAUAAUUACAUUAAUAAGUAUAUAUACUUUAUAAUAUAUAAUAUUAUAUUACAACCUAUUUCGAAAGUAAAUCGGUAAUCAUUUAAAAAUCGUGAUUAAUUAAUAUAAAUAUAAUUAAUUUAAGGUGGGGAUAGUGUAUUGUUAAUUAUUACACUUGGCCUUAACUAGGAAUGCCUUGUACUCUUCUUUGGUUUAACAUACCAAGAGGAAUACGUCCCUGCCCUUUGUACACACCGCCCGUCGCUCUUACCGAUGAAUUAUAUUAUAAAUCUAAGGGAUUUAUUAUAAUUAAAAUAUAAAAAACUUAUAUACAUAAUGGAUUUAAAGGAAAGAGAAGUCGAACAAGGCA
This 822-nucleotide ribosomal RNA is filed under the name Sorites orbiculus. Its description in RNAcentral is "SSU rRNA". It matches the Rfam family "Eukaryotic small subunit ribosomal RNA", at positions 1160 to 1801 of the family's 1831-position model. Lineage: Eukaryota; Foraminifera; Miliolida; Soritidae. The record is from RNAcentral.